GAUGAACGCUGGCGGCGUGCCUAAUACAUGCAAGUCGAGCGAAUGGAUUAAGAGCUUGCUCUUAUGAAGUUAGCGGCGGACGGGUGAGUAACACGUGGGUAACCUGCCCAUAAGACUGGGAUAACUCCGGGAACCGGGGCGAAUACCGGAUAACAUUUUGAACCGCAUGGUUCGAAAUUGAAAGGCGGCUUCGGCUGUCACUUAUGGAUGGACCCGCGUCGCAUUAGCUAGUUGGUGAGGUAACGGCUCACCAAGGCAACGAUGCGUAGCCGACCUGAGAGGGGGAUCGGCCACACUGGGACUGAGACACGGCCCAGACUCCUACGGGAGGCAGCAGUAGGGAAUCUUCCGCAAUGGACGAAAGUCUGACGGAGCAACGCCGCGUGAGUGAUGAAGGCUUUCGGGUCGUAAAACUCUGUUGUUAGGGAAGAACAAGUGCUAGUUGAAUAAGCUGGCACCUUGACGGUACCCAACCAGAAAGCCACGGCUAACUACGUGCCAGCCGCCGCAGUAA
This 514-nucleotide ribosomal RNA is filed under the name uncultured bacterium. RNAcentral's name for it is "partial 16S ribosomal RNA". It matches the Rfam family "Bacterial small subunit ribosomal RNA", at positions 28 to 523 of the family's 1533-position model. The record is from RNAcentral.